GGGAAAGAGAUCCAGUCACAUCUUUCUGAGUUGAAGAAAGAAGCGUUGGAAGCUGGAAAGGUAUCCUUACCCCUUGAUGUGUUGCUCUGUCUCAGCUUCCUUUUCUUCAGUGAUACUUUUCCUUGAAUACGUUCAGUAAUUUGUGUCUUAGUCUUGAAAUCUCCUCCUUUUCCUAUUCCUGUUUGUUUCAUGCAUCUGAAGUACAUAUGUAGUCAUUGGGAUCUGCAGUAUCAGAUCUAGCAUCUCCAGGUAACUGAAGAGAUUCGCUUACCUCUAGAGAUAAACAUCAACUCCACAAUGAAUAACUUUCUAAGAUCUCACUAGAACAUUUAUACACUUGAGACAUUUAUCUUAGUGGCUAAUGGCUUGUAGGAAGUCAUCACUUAGAAGAUGGUGAUAGUCUCAGUUCUGUGCUCCCACUUUAGAGCACAGAAUUUACUGGGAAUUUUAGAUUCACGAAUAAUGUUUUCUUCAGCAGAGAUGAUAAUUGGCAUCAUAAAUUAACUCUGGCACUGCUCCAGCAUACAUUCCUUCCUCAAGUAACUGGAGUGUAUAUUGUACAUUAUAAUGGAAUUUGUAACUUUUACAGGUGUGGUUUAAGUAUCCUUAGUUUUCAAACACCAUGAUCUGGCCUCUUAGAGUCUCCAGAAGGCCUUGUGCAUAGUUCUCAUUCAGUGUGUGUUUAUCUACAAACAAUUUAAGCAGAACUCCUUGGCAGGGUUAUAGUUGCCUCCAUUCAAGGUUAGGGAGUUCAUAUGAGUGAGCUGAAAGUUUAAGGAAGGACAGUGAAAUGGGACCCUUGGGGACUGUCCUAAAUGGGACUAUAGGUUAUCAGAGCAAAUGUUUUCUUAUCCUUGGUGAGGGUCGUCAUGAUCCUGACAACAGUACAGCAGUAAAUACUGCUGGUGAAAGCCUUUAUGUCAGCUUCUGUAGGAACUCUGUAUCUGAUUUGUUGAUGACAACUGUAUCUUGGGCUGCAUCAAAAGUAGCGUGAGCAGCAAGUGGAAGGAGGUGAUCCUGCCCCUCUACUCUGCUCUCCUGAGACCUCGCUUGUAGCACUGUGUGCAGUUCUGGUGUCCUCAACUAAGAAGGACAUGGAGCUGUUGGAGCAAGUCCAGAGGAGGCUGCAAGGAUGAUCAGGGGCUGGAGCACCUCCUGUAUGGAGGCAGGCUGAGAAAGUUGGGGCUGUUCAGACCGGAGAAGAGAAGCCGCGUGGAGACCUCAGAGCAGCUUCCAGUAUCUGAGAGGGGCCUACAAGGAUGCUGGAGGGGGCUCUUCAUCAAGGACUGUAGUGAUAAGGGGUGAUGGGUUUAAACUUAAACAGGGGAAGUUCAGGUUAGAUAUAAGGAUGAAAUUCUUUACUGUGAGGGUGGUGAGUCCCUGGCACAGGUUGCCCAGAGAAGUGGUAAAUGCUCCAUCCCUGGCAGUGUUCAAGACCACGCUGGAUAGAGCUUUGGGUGGCAUGGUCUAGUGUGAGGCAUCCCUGCCCAUGGCAGGGGGUUGGAACUGGAUGAUCUUAAGGUCCUUUCCAACCCAAACCGUUCUGUGAUUCUAUGACUGUACUAUAAUAGGAGUCUAACUUUUCUGGUCUCCACAGUUUGCUAGGUGUUUGUGUCAGCAGAAAUCUGUUUGUAAACCAUUAGCCAAAGCCAGAUCUAAUCCUCAGAUCCAAAGCCUUUGGGUGUUUUCCCAAAAUGGGCAUUUCCCAAACCAUCUUAUUUUGAUUCGCUACACCACCACUUUCAGUAGUUGCUGUAGGAUUAGUAAGAGACAGAGGUCCAUUCUGAAUGACUCAUUUGUAUUUUUCGUUACUGCUCUGAUGCACAUUCUACUUCAUAUGGCCCAAGGAUCAUGACAAAGCUCAGAGAGGGUCUGUGUGUGGUUCUGGUAAUAGCAACAAUAUGGACCCAAGUGGGUUUGAGUCUUGAAUCUAAUGAGCAUGCUCUUCCAGUCGUCCAGCUUGGUUAGAUUUAUGUUCAAAAAACAGAUGGAUCUUUCACCUUUACUAAUAUCUCUGCAUUUGAGUUCACUCCAAUGAGAUGCUGCCUACCUGUUUGCUUAUGACUGAUUGAUUGCUUCACAGGGAGAAACAGUCUAUCAAGCUAGCACAGAGAGUCUAGUUGAAAAGGUUUUCUGUUCAGGAAAGAUGUUGUCUGUUCUUGCCAGGAAAACUAUAUUGGACUGUUUAAUUUCCAUAAACGUGGCAAUAAUAGCUGCAAUAAUAAUGUAUGUGAUGGUGGAGGUAAGCCAUCUGCUUUCUCAAUACAAUCAAUGGAAAGAUAGUAUGAGUCUAAUCUGAAGAGUUAAUGGAUCAACCCUUACAGGUGGAAAGCAACACCUUAUGGGCAGAGCAAGGUGGUGCCGGAUCUCUCUUGAUGUCCUAAACCAUUCUGAAGGCAGAUGCUUGUAGUUCAGGUGGAGACUUGAGGUCAUACAAAGCACAGGCAGGAUCCUGCAUGGACGGUGUAACUUGUCCCAUGUGCUGUUGGAUCUAUGACUCUCUGAUGGGUCUGAUUUCUGAGGCAUGUCUUCAUUAUUGUGUGACUUCAUUGUCAUCCAUUGAUGUGAAAUAAUGAAACUUCUGUUAGAAACAUUGAAUGUAUGUUCUCUGCUAUCUUUGGUGAAAACUUCUUUCCUGAUGCCCCAGGAUUUAUAGAAACAUAUUGUUAAGCUUAAUGGAGAUGAAACUUAUCAAAACAAGGCUACUCUGUGGCAUUACCCA
Long non-coding RNA from Strigops habroptila (Kakapo), 2722 nucleotides. The record is from Ensembl. Lineage: Eukaryota; Metazoa; Chordata; Aves; Psittaciformes; Psittacidae.